GAUGAACGCUGGCGGCGUGCUUAACACAUGCAAGUCGAACGGUGAAGGCGGAGCUUGCUCUGCUGGAUCAGUGGCGAAAGGGUGAGUAACACGUGAGCAAUCUGCCCCUGACUCUGGGAUAAGCGCUGGAAACGGCGUCUAACACUGGAUACGAGCUGCGAAGGCAUCUUCAGCAGCUGGAAAGAACUUCGGUCAGGGAUGAGCUCGCGGCCUAUCAGCUUGUUGGUGAGGUAGCGGCUCACCAAGGCGUCGACGGGUAGCCGGCCUGAGAGGGUGACCGGCCACACUGGGACUGAGAAACGGCCCAGACUCCUACGGGAGGCAGCAGUGGGGAAUAUUGCACAAUGGGCGAAAGCCGGAUGCAGCAACGCCGGGUGAGGGAAGACGGCCUUCGGGUUGUAAACCUCUUUUGGCAGGGAAGAAGCGAAAGUGACGGUACCUGCAGAAAAAGCGCCGGCUAACUACGUG
Molecule: ribosomal RNA, 468 nt
Filed under: uncultured bacterium
Lineage: Bacteria
Description: partial 16S ribosomal RNA
Rfam family: Bacterial small subunit ribosomal RNA
Source: RNAcentral